RNAcentral lists this ribosomal RNA (429 nucleotides) under Acidobacteriota bacterium. RNAcentral's name for it is "Acidobacteria bacterium partial 16S ribosomal RNA". It matches the Rfam family "Bacterial small subunit ribosomal RNA", at positions 355 to 776 of the family's 1533-position model. The record is from RNAcentral. Lineage: Bacteria; Pseudomonadati; Acidobacteriota.
UGGGGAAUUUUGGACAAUGGGGGAAACCCUGAUCCAGCCAUCCCGCGUGUGCGAUGAAGGCCUUCGGUUUGUAAAGCACUUUUGGCAGGAAAGAAACGUCAUGGGUUAUUACUCCGUGAAACUGACGGUACCUGCAGAAUAAGCACCGGCUAACUACGUGCCAGCAGCCGCGGUAAUACGUAGGGUGCAAGCGUUAAUCGGAAUUACUGGGCGUAAAGCGUGCGCAGGCGGUUCGGAAAGAAAGAUGUGAAAUCCCAGAGCUCAACUUUGGAACUGCAUUAUUAACUACCGGGCUAGAGUGUGUCAGAGGGAGGUGGAAUUCCGCGUGUAGCAGUGAAAUGCGUAGAUAUGCGGAGGAACACCGAUGGCGAAGGCAGCCUCCUGGGAUAACACUGACGCUCAUGAACGAAAGCGUGGGGAGCAAACAGG